AUUAUAAAAAUUUAAGAAAAAUAUAUGACAAUGGUCAGAAUAUCGCGUUUUGGUAGGAUUUUUAAAACCUUAACGCGUUGAUUUUAUGAUGUUUGGUACACCCGAGUGGACUCGAACCACCGACCCCUACCA
RNAcentral lists this antisense RNA (132 nucleotides) under Shewanella mangrovi. Its description in RNAcentral is "Bacterial antisense RNA HPnc0260". It matches the Rfam family "Bacterial antisense RNA HPnc0260". The record is from Rfam by way of RNAcentral. Lineage: Bacteria; Pseudomonadati; Pseudomonadota; Gammaproteobacteria; Alteromonadales; Shewanellaceae.